This 429-nucleotide ribosomal RNA is filed under the name Bacteroidota bacterium. Its description in RNAcentral is "Bacteroidetes bacterium partial 16S ribosomal RNA". It matches the Rfam family "Bacterial small subunit ribosomal RNA", at positions 355 to 776 of the family's 1533-position model. The record is from RNAcentral. Lineage: Bacteria; Pseudomonadati; Bacteroidota.
UAGGGAAUCUUCCGCAAUGGACGCAAGUCUGACGGAGCAACGCCGCGUGAGUGAAGAAGGAUUUCGGUUCGUAAAACUCUGUUGUUAGAGAAGAACAGCGCAUAGAGUAACUGUUAUGCGUGUGACGGUAUCUAACCAGAAAGCCUCGGCUAACUACGUGCCAGCAGCCGCGGUAAUACGUAGGUGGCAAGCGUUGUCCGGAUUUAUUGGGCGUAAAGCGAGCGCAGGCGGUCAAUUAAGUCUGAUGUGAAAGCCCCCGGCUCAACCGGGGAGGGUCAUUGGAAACUGGUUGACUUGAGUGCAGAAGAGGAGAGUGGAAUUCCAUGUGUAGCGGUGAAAUGCGUAGAUAUAUGGAGGAACACCAGUGGCGAAGGCGACUCUCUGGUCUGUAACUGACGCUGAGGCUCGAAAGCGUGGGUAGCAAACAGG